GCUCCGGUGGUGUAGUCCGGCCAAGGCGGCGCCGAAAGCAUAGCGGCCUUAUCAGCCGCUGAUCGCGGGUUCAAAUCCCGCCCGGAGCACCA
This 92-nucleotide transfer RNA is filed under the name Candidatus Bathyarchaeota archaeon. Its description in RNAcentral is "tRNA-Ile". It matches the Rfam family "tRNA". Rfam says of the family: Transfer RNA (tRNA) molecules are approximately 80 nucleotides in length. Their secondary structure includes four short double-helical elements and three loops (D, anti-codon, and T loops). Further hydrogen bonds mediate the characteristic L-shaped molecular structure. tRNAs have two regions of fundamental functional importance: the anti-codon, which is responsible for specific mRNA codon recognition, and the 3' end, to which the tRNAs corresponding amino acid is attached (by aminoacyl-tRNA synthetases). tRNAs cope with the degeneracy of the genetic code in two manners: having more than one tRNA (with a specific anti-codon) for a particular amino acid; and 'wobble' base-pairing, i.e. permitting non-standard base-pairing at the 3rd anti-codon position. Lineage: Archaea; Thermoproteati; Candidatus Bathyarchaeota. The record is from RNAcentral.